CAACAGCCCAGAUCGUCAGCUAAGGUCCCUAAAUGUAAGUUAAGUGGUAAAGGAUGUGGGAUUGCACAGACAACCAGGAUGUUGGCUUAGAAGCAGCCACUCAUUCAAAGAGGGCGUAAUAGCUCACUGGUCGAGUGAUCCUGCGCCGAAGAUUUCCGGGGCUAAAACUUACUACCGAAGCUACGGCAUCAGUAAUGAUGGGAAGGGGAGCUUCCCAUACGGGUUGAAGCAUGACCGUAAGGACAUGUGGACAGUAUGGGAG
This 262-nucleotide ribosomal RNA is filed under the name Clostridioides difficile. RNAcentral describes it as "partial 23S ribosomal RNA". It matches the Rfam family "Bacterial large subunit ribosomal RNA", at positions 1020 to 1288 of the family's 2925-position model. The record is from RNAcentral. Lineage: Bacteria; Bacillati; Bacillota; Clostridia; Peptostreptococcales; Peptostreptococcaceae.